Tripterygium wilfordii is the source of this 1223-nucleotide long non-coding RNA. RefSeq lists it as uncharacterized. Lineage: Eukaryota; Viridiplantae; Streptophyta; Magnoliopsida; Celastrales; Celastraceae. The transcript has 2 exons. The record is from RefSeq and is a predicted model, not a curated record.
GUCAUUUUCAGGCCAGAAAAACAUACGAUACGUAUCGAAUUUCUCGCGAUAACUUAUCGAUUUCAUCGUAACAACUUUGACUUUUGGGAAAACUUGUCACCACCGACUUCUUCUACGUCAGUUUUUCAUUUAAUGAAGGGGGAAGGCUGUUCAUCUCAACCCAAGCUGCCUUCCCUCGCAAGAAUCAUCCACAGUUCACAUCUCAAUCGGUUCGACAAAUUUGAAAUUGCUUUCGGCUUCGUCGUUUCUGCUUGGGGUCGUAAUUUGAAAUGGAAGCCUCUCAGUCAGAGGAUAACCCUAGCUCUAAUCCAAUCCCUAACCGGAACACCAACAACAAUCGUCGUCGCCGUUGUGGCUCUUUUGUUUGUUCUGCCUUCACGGUAUGGUGAGAUUCUUCCCGUCUUUUGCUCAGAUCGUGAUAGUGAUGGUGAAGGUGGGUGAACUUCCUGCCGUUCGCGUCUCUCUUCACACGACUCUCUCCUAUUCUUCUUGGUUGUGCAUCCUUCGGUCUGCAAGUCGGAGAUCAAGAGCUGCGAUGAUGAAAGCACCUUACUGAUAUGCUGCUGCAGCAGGUUUGUACACCUGUGGAAGUGGGCUUCCGGGAAGAGACUUCCUAUGACUUUCGAAUGCCUUCAGUCUUGCUGAGGAUCACCAGCUUUUUAUGCUUAGACCAGAACCAGCUAGACAGACUGCAUGGAAUUGUCACCUUAAUUGAUUUAUCAGAUGGAAUAGAAGAUGGAAGUUAUUGUGGAUGCGUUGUCACAUAAGCUAGUAAGAUUUUCCAUUUCCUUUAUUUCUUUGGUUUCUUUUGUGCUUUAUAUUUCUUCUGUAAAAGAAGAGGUUUUCUGGGUAUUCUGUGGCUGUUUGCACCUGCUCAUUGUUGUGUUUCUGGGCUUUUGUGGGUAUUCUGAGGCUGCAUCUGUUUACUGGGAGUGUGAGCUGGGGAACUAUGUGAAUAUUCAGGGGAAGUGUGUCUCUCUCUCUCUGUUGGGGGGGGGGGGGGGGUAUUAAAUCCUGUGAGAGAGUUUUGGGGAGGGGGUGAGUUUUAUGGGUAUUGUGUAUAUUUUCAGGUGUGUGGGUUAAUCUUUGGGAGAGAGUUGGGGCUGAGUUUUAUGGGUCAAUGGUAAGCGUAUUCAGGUGAGGGUGUGUAUGGUCUUAACUUGGGUAAGAGAAUUGAGGGAGUGUGUUUCUGGGCUUUUUGUGUAUUUUCAGGGAUGUGUGUG